CUAGAGCAAAGGAUAGGUGAUCGACUCUACUCCGGUAGGGUUGAGAGCCGUCGAACCUCUCGGAGAAGUUCGGUCCUGAACUCCACCCUUGAAUAAAUUACCUUUGUUGCUUUGGCGGGCCGCCUCGCGCCAGCGGCUUCGGCUGUUGAGUGCCCGCCAGAGGACCACAACUCUUGUUUUUAGUGAUGUCUGAGUACUAUAUAAUAGUUA
RNAcentral lists this unclassified non-coding RNA (210 nucleotides) under uncultured Cadophora. Its description in RNAcentral is "sequence contains ITS1". The record is from RNAcentral. Lineage: Eukaryota; Fungi; Ascomycota; Leotiomycetes; Helotiales.